This 471-nucleotide ribosomal RNA is filed under the name uncultured bacterium. Its description in RNAcentral is "bacterial SSU rRNA". It matches the Rfam family "Bacterial small subunit ribosomal RNA", at positions 329 to 792 of the family's 1533-position model. The record is from RNAcentral.
UACCAGACUCCUACGGGAGGCAGCAGUGGGGAAUUUUGGACAAUGGGCGCAAGCCUGAUCCAGCUAUUCCGCGUGUGGGAUGACGGCCCUCGGGUUGUAAACAACUUUAGUAGAGAACGAAAAGGAGCUAUCGAAUAAAUAGCUCUGCUGACGGUACUCUAAGAAUAAGCACCGGCUAACUCCGUGCCAGCAGCCGCGGUAAUACGGGGGGUGCAAGCGUUGUCCGGAAUCAUUGGGCGUAAAGCGUUCGUAGGCGGCAAGGUAAGUCUGAUGUUAAAGCCCGGGGCUCAACUCCGGUUCGGCAUUGGAUACUAUCUAGCUAGAAUGUGGUAGAGGUAAAGGGAAUUCCUGGUGUAGCGGUGAAAUGCGUAGAUAUCAGGAGGAACAUCGGUGGCGAAAGCGCUUUACUGGACCAUUAUUGACGCUGAGGAACGAAAGCCAGGGGAGCAAAUGGGAUUAGAUACCCGUGUA